Molecule: long non-coding RNA, 461 nt
Organism: Megalobrama amblycephala (Wuchang bream)
Lineage: Eukaryota; Metazoa; Chordata; Actinopteri; Cypriniformes; Xenocyprididae
Exons: 3
Source: RefSeq, a predicted model, not a curated record
UGUUCCCAGUUAUGAUCCAUAACACCUGUUGAUACUCCGAACAGACGAAGAAUCUUCCAGAAAUGACAAUCUUUUGAAGGACACUGAUGGUAAAACAUGAAGAAAGGGUUAUUGUGAAAGAGUUACUGAAAACGAAUAUGUUUCUGAAGGUUUUCUCUCAUUUUCUCUUCAGUUUUAGGCUGUUAAUUUUGUGAUGCGAAAUCGAAAGUAUUUUUGAACCAAAGAUUUACAGUAAACAGGAAGAUGAAGCCUAACAUCCUGCUGAACGAUUGAUUGUUUUCUCAAACCAGUGCUGAUCAGAGGAGCGAGGAAAGGACUCUCUCUCUAAGAUGAGUCUCUCAGAGAAACACAGUGUAAGAUCAGGAUCACAUGUGUCCAGCUCUGUGUCUCUGAAGAGUGAUCAGUCAAAAGAAGGUGUAGAACCAGACUUCAGUGGGGAAAAACCAUCAUCUAAUAAAAGG